UACGUAGGGUGCAAGCGUUGUCCGGAAUUAUUGGGCGUAAAGAGCUUGUAGGCGGUUUGUCGCGUCUGCUGUGAAAUUUCGGGGCUCAACCCCGAACUUGCAGUGGGUACGGGCAGGCUAGAGUGUGGUAGGGGAGACUGGAAUUCCUGGUGUAGCGGUGAAAUGCGCAGAUAUCAGGAGGAACACCAGUGGCGAAGGCGACUACCUGGCCUGUUCUUGACGCUGAGGCGCGAAAGCUAGGGGAGCAAACGGG
This 253-nucleotide ribosomal RNA is filed under the name uncultured bacterium. Its description in RNAcentral is "partial 16S ribosomal RNA". It matches the Rfam family "Bacterial small subunit ribosomal RNA", at positions 524 to 776 of the family's 1533-position model. The record is from RNAcentral.